UUUUUUCUCCUAACCUUUCAGUUGCACAGCCAAAGUUUGCAAGAAAAACAGAGUGAUCCAUCUUAAGUCCCCACAGCCCCGAACUUCUGAGGAAAAACUUUCAAGUCAGCCAUGGAGCAGAAGACAAACGAGUGUCCCACCAACACCUCUCCUCAGAAACACAUGAAAAAUAGGUCUAAGUCCACAGAGGAGGUACAGCAGUCAAAGAAGGCCUUUUCCUCACAAAAAUCACUCCCAGGAAGACCAGAGCUGGAGAGAGUGAAGGAAUGUCCUGAUGGCUCUGAGACACCGUCAUCCUCCAGCGAAGAACUGAAAUAAUGAACAAAGCCAAAAAAAGAUGCCAUAAAGCUACAUCAUCAUAAACCUGAGACAUAAAAUGUGCAGAUGUACACAGAGGAACAUGCAGAAUAGUAUAUGAAAAAAAUGCAAGCCAUGAAUUGAUUAAAAGGAGAGAAUUGGACUAAAACACACACACGCACACACGCACGCACACACACACACAAAUUCACCCUACCACUGAAACAACAUGUAUGUGAACAGAAGGACACCUGUGAUGAUAUUGUUUCAUUGUACUGUGAGUGGUGUAUACAUGCCACCUGAAUGUGUAGUAACAAUAAAGUGAUGUUGCUGAGUGAA
Long non-coding RNA from Neolamprologus brichardi, 636 nucleotides. RefSeq lists it as uncharacterized. NCBI's taxonomy places the organism in Eukaryota, Metazoa, Chordata, Actinopteri, Cichliformes, Cichlidae. The record is from RefSeq and is a predicted model, not a curated record.